GAUGAAGAACGUAGCGAAAUGCGAUAAGUAAUGUGAAUUGCAGAAUUCAGUGAAUCAUCGAAUCUUUGAACGCACCUUGCGCCCUUUGGCUAUUCCGAAGGGCAUGCCUGUUUGAGUAUCAUGAACACCUCAACUCUUCACGGCUUGCCGUGAUGAGUUUGGACUUUGGGGGUCUUGCUGGCCUACGAGCCAGCUCCUCUCAAAUGUAUUAGCUUGCCGGUGUUUGGUGGCAUCACAGGUGUGAUAACUAUCUACGCUUGUGGUUUUCCACUAGGUAACCUUCAGCAAUGGAGGUUCACCGGAGCUCACAAAUGUCUCUCCUUGCCAAGGACAGAUUUUGACCAUUUGAUCUCAAAUCAGGUAGGACUACCCGCUGAACUUAAGCACAUCAAUAAGCGGAGGA
Molecule: unclassified non-coding RNA, 403 nt
Filed under: soil metagenome
Description: partial contains 5.8S ribosomal RNA, internal transcribed spacer 2, and large subunit ribosomal RNA
Rfam family: 5.8S ribosomal RNA (bases 1-121)
Source: RNAcentral